UACGGAGGGGGCUAGCGUUGUUCGGAAUUACUGGGCGUAAAGCGCGCGUAGGCGGCUUUGUAAGUUAGAGGUGAAAGCCCGGAGCUUAACUCCGGAACUGCCUUUAAGACUGCAUCGCUAGAAUUGUGGAGAGGUAAGUGGAAUUCCGAGUGUAGAGGUGAAAUUCGUAGAUAUUCGGAAGAACACCAGUGGCGAAGGCGACUUACUGGACACAUAUUGACGCUGAGGUGCGAAAGCGUGGGGAGCAAACGGG
Molecule: ribosomal RNA, 253 nt
Filed under: uncultured bacterium
Lineage: Bacteria
Description: partial 16S ribosomal RNA
Rfam family: Bacterial small subunit ribosomal RNA
Source: RNAcentral